Non-coding RNA from Arachis ipaensis, 213 nucleotides. The record is from RefSeq and is a predicted model, not a curated record. NCBI's taxonomy places the organism in Eukaryota, Viridiplantae, Streptophyta, Magnoliopsida, Fabales, Fabaceae.
UUUCUGUUUUCUACUGCACAGGAGCAAAAACCAAAAAAUGUCUCGUGCUAAGUAACGAGACAAAAUGAAAAUGUCUCGUGGCUAGGGACGAGCUAAAAACAUAAAAGUCUCCUCUAAAUCCAGCAAGUGUUAGGAAGCAAAAAAGGGGCUAAGAUUCAACCCCCCCUUCUCUUAGCCACUGAAACCAUCAAUUGAUAUUUGCAGUUACUUAUU